AACCGCCGGAUGCGGAAAACCGCACGUUCGAUGUGGGGGGGUUGAUGGAUAGUUAGUCACCUCACCCCGAU
Molecule: unclassified non-coding RNA, 71 nt
Filed under: Candidatus Kentrum sp. LPFa
Lineage: Bacteria; Pseudomonadati; Pseudomonadota; Gammaproteobacteria
Source: RNAcentral